RNAcentral lists this ribosomal RNA (321 nucleotides) under Triticum aestivum (bread wheat). Its description in RNAcentral is "partial small subunit ribosomal RNA". The record is from RNAcentral. Lineage: Eukaryota; Viridiplantae; Streptophyta; Magnoliopsida; Poales; Poaceae.
AUGCACCCAUCCUGCAGUACAGUUGCAGACAAGGGCCACCGUGUUGUCUACUCUUCCGACGGCAGGCGGUAUGAGAUCCCCUUGGUGUGCCUCUGCACAAGAGUCUUCCAGGAACUCUUAAGGAUGUCUCAGGGGGAGUGUGGGUUCACAAAUGAUGGGAGGAUCACACUGCCUUGUGAUACAGCGGUGAUGGAGUAUGUGAUGUGUUUGCUUAGGAGAGAAGCUUCAAAGGAUGUUGAGAGGGCACUCCUUAGUUUCAUAGUGAUAACUUGCCACCACCCAAGCAGAAUGGUGCAAUCACUCAGCGGACUUAACCAGUAA